RNAcentral lists this ribosomal RNA (497 nucleotides) under uncultured bacterium. Its description in RNAcentral is "partial 16S ribosomal RNA". It matches the Rfam family "Bacterial small subunit ribosomal RNA", at positions 28 to 507 of the family's 1533-position model. The record is from RNAcentral.
GAUGAACGCUGGCGGCGUGCCUAAUACAUGCAAGUCGAGCGAACAGACGAGGAGCUUGCUCCUCUGACGUUAGCGGCGGACGGGUGAGUAACACGUGGAUAACCUACCUAUAAGACUGGGAUAACUUCGGGAAACCGGAGCUAAUACCGGAUAUUAUAUUGAACCGCAUGGUUCAAUAGUGAAAGACGGUUUUGCUGUCACUUAUAGAUGGAUCCGCGCCGCAUUAGCUAGUUGGUAAGGUAACGGCUUACCAAGGCAACGAUGCGUAGCCGACCUGAGAGGGUGAACGGCCAACCUGGAACUGAGACACGGUCCCGGCUCCUACGGGAGGCAGCAGUAGGGAAUCUUCCGCAAUGGGCGAAAGCCUGAAGGAGCAACGCCGCGUGAGGGAUGAAGGUCUUCGGAUCGUAAAACUCUGUUAUUAGGGAAGAACAAAUGUGUAAGUAACUAUGCACGUCUUGACGGUACCUAAUCAGAAAGCCACGGCUAACUACGUG